UGCCGGCGACAAGUCGGAGGAAGGUGGGGAUGACGUCAAAUCAUCAUGCCCUUAUGACCUGGGCUACACACGUGCUACAAUGGGCGGUACAAAGGGCUGCGAACCCGCGAGGGGGAGCGAAUCCCAAAAAGCCGCUCUCAGUUCGGAUUGCAGGCUGCAACUCGCCUGCAUGAAGCCGGAAUCGCUAGUAAUCGCGGAUCAGCAUGCCGCGGUGAAUAAGUUCUCGGGUUU
This 231-nucleotide ribosomal RNA is filed under the name uncultured Geobacillus sp. RNAcentral's name for it is "partial 16S ribosomal RNA". It matches the Rfam family "Bacterial small subunit ribosomal RNA", at positions 1150 to 1381 of the family's 1533-position model. Lineage: Bacteria; Bacillati; Bacillota; Bacilli; Caryophanales; Anoxybacillaceae. The record is from RNAcentral.